CUUACCUGAGUGGCCAUAUUAUAUACAAAUGGCUUCUGCAAAAGUAGACACGGCGUGAUAUUGGUACGGCUCAUCUUAAUUCAACCACUAUAUCAACGAUUGAGACGAGCCGAAUCAAUAUCACUCUUGUUUGCUUCAUUGCAUAUAUAUAUAUACUAGCAGCUUUUUCUUUAGAAACCAAACUAUGCCUUGUUGUUUGUGCUUUUUUUUCACUAUGAAUGAAAGAAGUUCCAUGAAUCCCUUACAUGACAUGUUGGAGUCUCACAUGCAGUUUUAUUUUAUAGGAAGAAGAGCUUACUAUAGUUACAUUAUCUGCUUAGCACUGAAGAAUAGAAACCUCAGAAAAUGGAUUCUGCGGAAGUGGACUGGCGUGGUAUUGCUUCUGUUCAUCUUUGCAUAUGAAUUUAAUCACAUCCUCUUAAAUAAGACGAGCCGAAUCAAUACCACUCUAGUACACUUCACUGCAUAUAUGGCUGUUCUUCCUAAGUCAAACUAUGCUGAUUUCAGAAAUAAUGAAAGGAAAAGUGGAACUCCAUUAUAUUGCUCUUAUUCAUGCACGAAACAAAUUAACCACAGAUCACAUGUAUUUUCCACAUGAGAUUCGAGCCAAAAUGAUCAUUAUGUCGGCAAAGCUCUCUCUAAUACAUCUGUGUCUCAGAUUCAAGACUAUUGGUUUAAUUGAAACAACUUUGUGUCAGCUGAUGCAUAAGCUUGGUGGUAACGUAGCAGUUCUCUUUUCAUUAAAUUGUUGUAAUACUAUUUAAUUACACCUUUGAUUCGUUUGGCUAGCCUGAACUUAUAGGAAGAGGCCUCCAGCUAGAAAUCAUCACCAGAAGUGUUGUUUUUUGACAAAGAUAGAGACAAGCAGUGAUGGAAUUCGUUUUGCCCCAGAAGUUUAUUGCACAUGCCUGUAUCCCUUUUUAUUUAUUUAAUUAUAUAUAAAAAAUUAUCCUUUGUCCUAUGCUUUUUAUCCCUUCUAACGUCUUUUUGCAUUAUAAGAAAGAGGGUGUUCAAAUUUCUUAUACUUUGCGUUGUUACCUAUUUAAUACUAAUUGCAGGAAACAAAUUAACUAUGCUACGACAGCAUGCAAGAACAAAGGGAAUAAAGUCUUCUGUUCUGGGACAUGUUCAUCAAUGAGGACAAGACCAGAAUCUUCAUCUAAUUAAGUAUAUACCAGUUGUUCGUUCAUUCUGAGUUCGAAUUCACGUAGUAGUGAAGUUGAAUUUUUCGUGGUAUAUUCCCUAAACUUCCAGAUCUAUGGCGAUAUAUUUCAUUAAUGGACCGAUGCACUAUUAAGCCGUGAAACUAAAUCAACUGAUACAGUAUGAAUGUAUGAUAUAACAGCCAAUGUAUUGGCAUUUCCAAAGCAGCCGAGUGCUAAUGUACUUUAAUUUUAAUUAUCAACUCAAUGUAAGCCAUUGUAGUUUUUCU
Glycine soja is the source of this 1432-nucleotide long non-coding RNA. RefSeq lists it as uncharacterized. The transcript has 2 exons. The record is from RefSeq and is a predicted model, not a curated record. NCBI's taxonomy places the organism in Eukaryota, Viridiplantae, Streptophyta, Magnoliopsida, Fabales, Fabaceae.